UUAGUAUUUGUUUGACGAUUAUUUUAUGCGUU
This 32-nucleotide small RNA is filed under the name Arabidopsis thaliana (thale cress). Its description in RNAcentral is "ATSL212440". Lineage: Eukaryota; Viridiplantae; Streptophyta; Magnoliopsida; Brassicales; Brassicaceae. The record is from RNAcentral.